RNAcentral lists this long non-coding RNA (276 nucleotides) under Carica papaya (papaya). RNAcentral's name for it is "long non-coding RNA (CPAP_LNC011122)". Lineage: Eukaryota; Viridiplantae; Streptophyta; Magnoliopsida; Brassicales; Caricaceae. The record is from RNAcentral.
GAAUCGAUUCAAAAUUUAUCAAAUUUAGUAAAAAACGACCGAUCCGAGGUGGACCACCACCGGUGGUGGCGGCGCUGUCGCCGGAGCAUGGCGAAGCCGCCAUGCUGGAUUUUCAAAAUUGGCCGAGUAGGCCCUGGGACUGAUUUUGGAUUUAUUUAGAACAUUUGUGGGUACUAUAAAUGCGUUUCAUUUCUCGAAAAAAAAUUUAGGGAACCGAGAGAUCGCCCGUAGGCGCAGUAACCGUUUAGCUUUUCGGCGUCAAAUCAAGUAAGGAUC